Molecule: ribosomal RNA, 497 nt
Filed under: uncultured bacterium
Lineage: Bacteria
Description: partial 16S ribosomal RNA
Rfam family: Bacterial small subunit ribosomal RNA
Source: RNAcentral
GAUGAACGCUGGCGGCGUGCCUAAUACAUGCAAGUCGAGCGAACAGAUGAGGAGCUUGCUCCUCUGACGUUAGCGGCGGACGGGUGAGUAACACGUGGAUAACCUACCUAUAAGACUGGGAUAACUUCGGGAAACCGGAGCUAACACCGGAUAAUAUAUUGAACCGCAUGGUUCAAUAGUGAAAGACGGUUUUGCUGUCACGUAUAGAUGGAUCCGCGCCGCAUUGGCUAGUUGGGAAGGUAACGGGUUACCAAGGCGACGAUGCGUAGCCGACGUGAGAGGGUGAUCGGCCACACUGGAACUGAGACACGGUCCAGGCUCCUACGGGAGGCAGCAGUAGGGAAUCGUCCGCAAUGGGCGAAAGCCUGACGGAGCAACGCCGCGUGAGUGAUGAAGGUCUUCGGAUCGUAAAACUCUGUUAUUAGGGAAGAACAAAUGUGUAAGUAACUAUGCACGUCUUGACGGUAACUAAUCAGAAAGCCACGGCUAACUACGUG